AUUAAAUAUUCCCUUUAUAACCCUAUAAAUUUUUUAUUGUGCUGUUGUCAACCACAAAAACUUUCAUGAUUUUUAUAUGUGUAUACAUAAUAUUUUUGAACAUGAUAUAGGAAAAGCUUCAGAGAUAAAAAGAAAACUUUUUUAAAGGUGUGUUUACAAAUUAUAUGGAUACAUGGGUGGUUACCUUACAGCAGAAGGUUUUAUGAAUAAGGCUAUACAUUGAGCUCAGUGGUAGAGUGCUUGCCUAGCAUGCAUGAGGACUUGGAUUCAGUCCCAACACCUCCUAAAAAGAAAGGUAUUAUAAAUGAGUACAUGGAUAUGAUAUAAAUUUAUAAAGACAAAACUAGUUUCAUGCACCAUUUUAGUUUGGUAGGGAAAGUAAUAGCAAAU
Molecule: long non-coding RNA, 390 nt
Filed under: Marmota monax (woodchuck)
Lineage: Eukaryota; Metazoa; Chordata; Mammalia; Rodentia; Sciuridae
Source: RNAcentral